Molecule: unclassified non-coding RNA, 178 nt
Filed under: Filobasidium magnum
Lineage: Eukaryota; Fungi; Basidiomycota; Tremellomycetes; Filobasidiales; Filobasidiaceae
Description: sequence contains 5.8S rRNA gene, ITS2
Source: RNAcentral
CCAGUGGUUCUUCUUUCAUAUCCAUAACACCUGUGCACUGUUGGAUGCUUGCAUCCACUUUUAAACUAAACAUUAUUGUAACAAAUGUAGUCUUAUUAUAACAUAAUAAAACUUUCAACAACGGAUCAAUGUUUAGUUUAAAAGUGGAUGCAAGCAUCCAACAGUGCACAGGUGUUAU